RNAcentral lists this ribosomal RNA (465 nucleotides) under uncultured bacterium. Its description in RNAcentral is "partial 16S ribosomal RNA". It matches the Rfam family "Bacterial small subunit ribosomal RNA", at positions 28 to 507 of the family's 1533-position model. The record is from RNAcentral.
GACGAACGCUGGCGGCGUGCUUAACACAUGCAAGUCGAACGGAAAGGCCCCUUUGGGGGUACUCGAGUGGCGCACGGGUGAGUAACACGUGAGUAACCUGCCCUUGACUUCGGGAUAACUUCAGGAAACUGGGGCUAAUACCGGAUAGGAAUCCUUGCUGCAUGGUGGGGGUUGGAAAGCUUCGGCGGUUUUGGAUGGACUCGCGGCUUAUCAGCUUGUUGGUGGGGUAGUGGCUUACCAAGGCUUUGACGGGUAGCCGGCCUGAGAGGGCGACCGGCCACAUUGGGACUGAGAUACGGCCCAGACUCCUACGGGAGGCAGCAGUGGGGAAUAUUGCACAAUGGGCGGAAGCCUGAUGCAGCAACGCCGCGGGCGGGAUGACGGCCUUCGGGUUGUAAACCGCUUUCAGCAGGGGCGAAGCUUGUGGUGACGGUACCUGCAGAAGAAGCACCGGCUAACUACGUG